UCAUCAAUAGUAGUAGUGACCAUUAAAGGGGGAGUGUGGGGAGCUCGUUCAAACUUACGCUCGAAGAGAAAUACCCAGUCUUCUGAGAUACCUGGUAAGGAAACACUGGGCACGCAAAGCUGAAGGCUAAAAAGUCAACUCCACUUUCAGGGGCUACCAAGCUGGGCCAUAUCACAGAGAAAUGCUCCUCAACAGUAGAGAUUGACUCUCCAUACAACUGCAAUAUUUGUAAUCAAGAGGACACAGAUAAUUGUGGUGUUUUUUUUUAAAAUGUGUGUCAGUUACGACAUACUGUGACCCGUCGUUCUUACUGGUGAAGCUUCCCUAAAGCAUGCCAGGUCUCCAGAAAGGGUCAGUGUGAGGUACAAGAGGCCAACGGCUCCUUUGACCAUAAGAAGUCCCAGAAAGGCUUUGAAGUGGCCUGAAUCAUGCAACAUUCUGUCACGUGAUGAUGGCCAGGGACAACCGCAAUUAAGAACCUAGAGUAGACAGGAAGUGCAUGGCUUUGGUUUUAACUCACCUUCACGGUGUGUAUCAGAAGAGGUGUCUACUGAAUGCUGCAUAGAUUGAAUACACUUGAGCUGAGCAGAUCCCAGCGUGGGACCUUCACCUCCUACUUCUCACUGGCAACAAUGGAGAAUUGCUCCCAUGACUCGACAUCUCUCGGUACGGGAUCUCUCGCAGCUUUUCUGAAACAGGUUUGGUGGCAAAGACCUUCUUCCCCGCUACCACCUCCUCAGACUCCCUCGACUGUGGAUUCAGUCCUCCAGCACUGGGCUCCUCUUCUGGGUGAUCCUCCCAACUACCCUGAAGAGCAACUUCCUCAUUUUGGAGGUCUGACGGAAAGGAGGAACUUGAAGCAAACUGAUGAAAUUAUCUAGUCACCACAAAUUGGCAGAAUCAAGGCCCAAACCCAAGACCUCUGAUUCUGAGUUCACUUGUAUUUUCCAUUACAUCAGAAAUGAUAACCAAGGCUUACAACGAGCAGAAUGUUAUUCUGUCCAAAGUGAUUCAAGACAGAAAAAGUUUGUUUAAAAAGGCAACUGCGUUUUAUUUCAUUAUUCAAGAUAACUGAAGUAGUUGACCAUUACAGGGCUGUUUUCUUCAAGCAUUCCACCCUUAGCACCUUGUUGCUUAAAUGUCUUUUAAAACAUUGCUAUUCAGUUGAGAAACAGCCAGACAAGCAAGAGAGACUGAAUUAUAUAAAUCUCCAUUCUCAGCUGUAUCUUAGAUUUUAUCUUCAAUACUCCUCUUCAGCCAAUCACUAAUUACGUAAAUUGUAAAUGUGAAGGUUAGUUGUUCCUUGGUGGCAAUACCACCACCAGAGUGAAAUACCAGUGAAAAUAUAAAUUGAAAGAGUAUAUAUGAAAUAUGUACCCAUUUUAAAGGUGAUCUUCUGAAAGAUGUAAUAACAAACCAGACUCUCAGACAUCUCUCCCUUUUGUGAUUUUGGCUCUUACAAAACUUAGAAACAAAUCAAUUAAAUAUUCUAAGAUAAGGCAGUUUUCUAGGGUUACUUUAAUUACAGAAGUUUAUAAGGGUGUGCUGGAAAUAGGGGGAAGCAGCACAGAGAAUUAAGUAACAUUUUGGUGAAUGAAAGUCACAGCCGAUAUUAUAUAGCUAUUACUGGAAAUUUUACUUCAAAUUUAGUUUAGCUUGACUUUACUAAUAUAUUUGAUUUUAUACUUAGGUUAAAUUUAAGCACCUAGAUACUGGAAUGAUAAAAGACAAGAAAACAGCUGCUUAGUUAAAAAGUAGUUAAACUUUUAGAGGACAUUUUGUCAGUGGUUGUUGCUUUAGAAUUUAGAAAUUGAAUUUAACUUUGCAUCGUGCUUCCUUUAUACAUAUAACUUGGAGCAGAAAAUUCCCCCUUUAACAACUUCAGAACAAAGCAAGAAACCACAGUGGUUUGCAGGCCACUAAUUCUGUUACAGAUGAAAGCAUUCAAUUAUCUCUAUAAAAUUCAAUUCCUUAGAAAAUGUGUUUGUGAUUGACUAAGUACAUUUUUAAAAUGUGGUAAUACCACAUGCUAUUAUUCACAAUCUUGAUUUAAAAGUUGGAAUGAAGUAGCUUGUGGUUCUUGCGUAAAAGACUCUAUUUUUUUCAAUGUAAAAAUAUUUUCAAUACAUUAUCUUACAGAAAAACCUGAAUGAACUUUUGGGCCAACCCAAUAAAAAGGCAACCUAGAAUACUUUUGAUUCCAGAUGUUAAGCUGGGCAUGUGAAAAUUAUUUUUUUCCACUGCAGCCCAAAUAUACUUCAAAAAUGAAAAGUUUCAAAGUGAGUCAUCGAUUAUAUUAAAGUCUUAUUUACAUAGCAUUUAUAUUUUAAAUACUGUGAUCAAAUACUGCCAAGAAGAAAUUAAUAUCACUUAAGAGUCAAGAUCUCUCAUGAAAAAAACCCUUAAACAAGAUUUAAAAUCAGAGUUAAUUCUAAGCUCAAGAUGGGUGGUCUCAAUGGAAUCGCUGUUGGGCAGUAGGUUAAGGCCUCUCUGCUGAGUACCACUUCUCACCAUGAAAGUCUGCAUAAAAUAUAUACACAAAAUUCUGCAUAAAAUCUCAGAGGGCUCUCUACAAUCCUCUCCAGCUGUGAGCAAAAUGUUAAAUUCCACUUAACACACACAUGUAUAUGUACGUGUCUAAGUUCCCCCUGCCCCAAACAAGCACUCCAUCCUGGGCUGGGGCUAUGGCUGGUGUUCUCACGCCCUCCAGCCAGCCAGCUCAGUAGCACAAUCUCUAUACAGAUUGAGACCCAAGGUGUAGAGCUAGCUAUGGCUUUUACCUCCUGGCUAUCUAGGUUCUAUUAUUAGGUGUGGGCUUCGCAGUAGCACCUACCCAGCUUGUGGUUGUUAGCUUCCUGCUAACCACACACAGGAGCUCAGUAGCUGUCCAGCUUUCAUGCACAUUCAGAUUCACAGGCUUGGUUCCAAGAUCUCAUUUUGACUGGCCCCAAAAGUCCUCUCCAUCUCUUUGUGAUACUGUCUCUUUCCUAAUGGCAACCCACUCCAGUACUCUUGCCUGGAAAAUCCCAGGGACAGAGAAGCCUGGUAGACUACAGUCCAUGGGAUCUCAGAGUUGGACAUGACUGAGCAACUUCUCUUUCAAACUACUUUUUAAGCAACCUUAUUAGGUAUUAAUAGGUGCAAAGGCAGCCAACAAAACAAUUGAAGAUUGUAAAAAUCUAUGGCAGAUACGUAUCCCAAACUCCAUUUAUUCUGAAACAAUAAGCUUGGACUGGGACACAGUAAUUUACUCUGUAUUCUCUUGCACCUUCCCAAAGAUCCUGUGGUCUUAUCACAAAGUUGCUACCCAUAAGUCUGAUUCAAUGUUCUUGCCCUCAGUUAAUGUGGCUGACUUUAAGAAUGCAAACUAGCAUCUCAGGAUCUAUUCACUGCAGCAGCAAACAGCUUUUAUGUAUGCUGUUUUAUUUUGGAUUCCUACAUUGGCAAACUUCUAAUUUUUAGGUUGGGCUUAUCUUGUAUUUGGAGAAGGAAAUGGCAGCCCAGUCCAGUAUUCUUGCCUGGAAAAUCCCAUGGAUCACGGAGCCUGGUAAGCUGCCAUCCAUGGGGUCGCAGAGUCGGACACGACUGAGCGACUUCACCUCACUCACUUCCACUGUCUUGUUAUUACUCUGAUGAAAAGGAUGAGAGUGUGUUAAAAAGAAGCUAGACAACUGCAUGGUACAAGUAUAUUCUUGAGCAGAUGAAUGUGGUCUUCACUCUAGUUCUUGGGCACACGUGGUGCCAAACAGGAGUGCACCGAAAUACAUUUGUUUGAUAUUAGUAGGCAUGCUUCCCACACUGGGACUUUUGAUCUAUUUUGAAGCAAGUAGGAUAAAAGCAUUUGCCAAAUGCGGAGAAAGCCCAAACAUGCAAACAAUACUUCUCUCCUACUCUUCGGCCCGCUGAAUACGUGCAAUUAUGGACACAGGGGUUUGUCCUAAAAAUCUCAUGGUGCAGAUAACCAGUAUCGCUAUCAGUAGGUUAACACGCAGGGAUGUUCCCAGGGUGAAGUGACGACGGGAAAAGGAUCUGUUCUAGUCAUCUGUCAACUGAAGUCAUGCUGAAAAUCAAUGGCUCCUUUUAGAUUAAUAGAGCUGUAUGGUGCAGCAAUUUAGGCAGGAUUUAAGUAGGUUUCCUACCAAUACAGAACUGUUAACAAAAUCAAGCUAGUCUCUGGGCUGUUCGGUACCAAGUAGCAUAGUGCAUUUUAGCUUUUGAAGUCCUUUUUGAUGCAUCCUAAAGUAAGUGUCUUAAAUGGUCUGAAGUAAACAGCCUGCUAACGACGAUUCAGAAGUAUUGAUUCAUCCCAGGAAGGCAAGGCACAGAGAGUCUGGUUGAUAUAAAAAGUUUGUUUCUCAAUUAUUUCAUAAGAAUGAUACAAUUCUGAGUAUGUAUUAUGUAUUAUUUUUCAAUGAAGUCUUUUAAAAAUACCAAUUGCUUUUUUUGCUAAGAGUACAUUUUGAGAGUUACUGUGAAUUUCGCCUAUUCUCUUUCUCACUGAACAAUCAUGUGUAUCAGAUCGUUAGUUUGCCACAGGAAAGCUCUGAAAUAAACUAAAAUGCCUAAUCAGCUAGCUCUGUGAGGUAUGUGCUGUGUGCAUGUAUACCAAGCAGUGUAUACCUGUCUGCCAGGGGAGUGGGAUAAACUUUUCAUGUAACACCAAACUUGAAAAAUAAAAAAAGGCACUCAAUAGCAUAAUUCCAUUAUGUGAAAUACACACAACAAAACUUUUUGUUUCCAUAUAAUUUAGAGUGUGGUCAGCAAAAUAUAAUCCCCUCUUAAAAAAUGAGUUUAAAUUAAGAUCAAUAAAAACAAUAAAAAAAUUAGUCCCAUAAUAACAUGGUUAACAACUCAAAUGGCUUUUUUUUUUAAUGCUAGGAAAAAUGUUCACCUUUCAAUGGUGACAGUACUGUUAACACAGGUAGAGAGCCAACAAGGUAAAAAGUGGAAGCACAUACAGACACACACAAAUAUAUAAAAUUUGACCAGAAAUCACAGGACAUUUAAGCAAUGUUUUCUUAAGUAGAACUACUUUUUUUUUUUUUGUACUUUAAAUAGACUAAAGUAUUUGGUGUGGGUGGAGGGAAGGAAAUCAGUAUUUCACAACUUUAACUUGAAAACCAGCUGAAAUAAAGCCUCAGCUCAUUGUUUAAUUUUUUAAAAACGGCACCACAUCAUACUUCUGACAAUCAUAGGAUUAAAGCUUACAAAGAACACAUCUACUGUCUACAUCACAGUGCACAGAGAGGAAGCAGUCUGCGGACUACCACAGGGAAACAAGAACAGAGUCUGCACCCUUCAUAUUGCAUCACAAAAUUAACGCCGUCUUGGAGGAACCUUGCCUCCCGUGGUCGGUGUCGUAGCUGGUAAGCACCUGAGGGCUAGGAGGCUAUCAGAACUGAGGGUGCUGCUCAGUGUGGAUCAGGACAUCGGUUCCUUGAUCUGCCAUUGGCGGAUGCAUUUAGUAACCACAAUAUGACAUUCACUGAGAAUAAACAUAAUAAUGCCACAUUCUGGCUUCUUGAGCAGGACAGUCUGGGGAAUGCAGUAGAAGGCUGUAUCCUUCCUCGAGAGAAAAAAUCCACGCUCCUCAGUUUUAUCAUGAGAAUUUAAAUUUCAGAUAUAAUAAUUUAACCCCAUAAAGACAUGAUCUGUACUUACAUAUACACACAGGUUCUGAAGAACUUCACUGUCUAGAUGCCUCUUCUGUUUCAUUCAACCACCGGGUAUCUUCCCUGGAUUACUGUUAGUCUCACUACCAAGAGCACAUUGGUGCCAUCAGCUAUUAUUUGCCAUAAAUCUCACAUUCCAUCUACAAUAAUAAGUGAUCAGAGGAUACGUGCCGUAUGGCAGUGGAACUUAAUUGAAACUAGUAUAAUGUUUAAGGUGAGGUUAAGUCACAAGAACAGCCAGGGCUAUCAGCUCCUCCUUGCUGUGUGGGCCUGGGCUUUCCUGGGUUUAGCUCUCACAAGUUUUGCAUCCAAGGGUCCCAGGCAUGAACCUCGGUCCCAGGCAUGCCAGCGCAGGUUGCCACCCUAAAGAGCACUCCUCACUCCUCCCUUAGGAUCAAUAGAGGAAAGGUAAGAAUCUUCAAGAGCAUAUAGGGCUACUUAUGAGGGAAUCAGCUCAAAAAUCUUUUUAGGACACCUGUUAAUUGCUAGUUCCUAGAAGUCCACAAAUAUCUUACUUUAAGAACAGGCUGAUCAAAUUUAAGCAAACUGGUGAGCAUGAAACAGUUCAUCCUUGAAGCCUGUUUUCACAUAAAUCCUCUAUAGGUUCUUCAGGUUUUGUCCAGUUAUAUAGUAUUUUACUGUAUCUUUUUGAGAUUUUUCAGAGCUAAAUGAAUAAUCCAGUUUUAUAUCUUUUCAUAUUUUUUUUUUAAUGUGAAAAUACUCUUUGCCAACUAUUUCCCACAUUCGGGCUUCAUAUGUUAACAAGAAGACUGCCAACUGGAGCCAUUUCCCUCAGAUUAUAAAGGCCCAGAAUUAUGUUACUUUUAACUGUGCUCUACCAGAAGGCCUGGCCUUGGGGAGAGACGGCAAAAAAAAUAUUCUCAGAUAUGCACAUUUUUAUUUUGCCUACAACGCUGUGAUCUAGCUCAACAACUGCACAACUACUUUCAUCUUAAUCUUUAUAGUUUUUCUUGUUUUGCUGCCUUGUAUUACAGAAAUGGUUAGUGUCACAGUUUCACUAUCAGUAAUAAAAAGAUAUAAAUAUUUAUGCCUUAAAGGCCCAGGGUCAAAACAGCAAAAAUGAAGCCUGAGGUAAAGCUGGUCUCAGAAAUGACCAUUCUGGGUUCUACAUUUUGCCAAAAAAAUAGGGUAUUUUUUAAAAAUGUAAAAUCCAUGCAUGUUACCUACAUGCUAUGUAUGAGAUAAUUCUUUCUCCUGAUUUAAUCUGUGUAUACACUAGUUACAUAAAACCGACAAAUGACUACAUUCUUAAUGCAGGUACAUACAUUCAUCAGGAAAGGACCCUAAUCUUUUUCACCAACAAUUUUUUUUGUUUGAACAAUCCAAGAAUGUGAAUAAAGAAAGUGACAUACAAGUUAUCAUCUUAGGAAUUACUGAGAAAGGAAAAUCUCUUUGGAAGAAAAAGACUUUAGGAAGACUCCUAUGCUGAGAACCAACUUUAUGCCACAGCGCUGUAAACGGCAGGACUUAAUACAGAACCAGAAACACAGCAAGUUACCUAGAGACUAACACCGAAAAACAGCCAAAAGCUUUAAAGCCACAGGGAGAAAAAAAACAGUCAAGUGUGAAAUGAAAAAUAUAUAAUAGUUAAGUAUUUUUACAAUUCUAAAACUUCACUUCUGUCCUUAAAUCAAUAUAUUAUGAAUUUCACGGUUCAAUAAAUAAGCAUCUUUAAUCAGAAGAGGAAGUAAAACCUUUCCCAGCAACCCCCCCCCACCCCCUCCAAUCUUGCAAAAGAGCAGACUGGAUAUUCUGGAGAGAGUAAGAGGGUUUUUUGUUUUGUUUUUUAAAAAGAGGGUAGAAGAAUAUAAUCAGGGGUGGGGGGAGAAAAAUCUAAAAGUCCUUUGUGUGGAGUUAAUGAAUACUCACUUCCUUCAUCAGCGGCAUUAUUCUUUCAAAGGGCCCUUACAUCUCAACCAACGGUGAAAAUCUGGGUCUAUUGUGGAUCUCAUGGCAGCAAACCAACAGACACUGAGGUUAACGCAGGCUAAUAAUACACGCUGGUCAGAUCCUCUGCAAAUCAGAAAUGACCCAGAGAAUCUUGGAAAAUUCAUCUCUGUUGAGCACAGCUAAGAAAGUCAUCUUUAGGCUAUCCUUAAUUACAGGAAAACUUGACUUGGUAGUGGUAUUUCCCAGGUUAUGUAAAGCAGCAGUCUUAUGCCAGGGGGAAAGAGCAGGGGCAGGGGGCACACAACCUAACAUUAUUAUUUAAAAAAAUUUUAUGUUAUCUGGUCAGCGCCUUUCACAGAGACCACUCAAGAGCUUUUUCGUGAUGUCAGUUUCAGUUCUGAUUCUUAGUUGUCAAGCUGCCUAAAAAAGGCGUACUAACAGAACCACCAAAUUAGGACCCUGGCAGAAUAAAAAAUUUACCCUGAUGGUCUAUCCAUGAAAGGAAGAUGUCUGCAAGCCAACUUAGGAAUCUUUUACUGAGAUCUAACAAAUAAAAUCAUUGAAUAUUGUUAAAAUGUGUGCAAACAACCCCUACUGUUAAGAUUUUUAUAUGAGUGUAUAUGUAUAUAUAAAUCCAUACAUACACAUUAUAUAAUUUAUUUCCUACGAAAAAGACUUAAGGCAGUUAUGCUAUAUAUAAAGUUAGCUAUAAUAUCCAAGAGAAAACAGUUCCUACCGAAAAAAUUAUGUGAACACAUCAGACAACUUAUCAUAAAAGCAAUCAUGAGACUAUCUGUAUCCAGUAUAGCUCACAUUUCCUGGUCGAGGCUCCCAACACAGGAAUUCCACUCCCAAGAUAAAAUUUGUCCCUUGAUCCCCACACACAAAAGGUAGUCUGAACAGACAAAAUAUUUAUAAAAACCUUGAAAUGGAAGAUAUUAAAAAGAACUCAACAGAAUUCUGACAACCUCUGGACACCACACUAUCGUUAUUACUCUUGAUUGUACUAAACACAACUCAAUAUGCUCCAAGAUGGAAGCUGGGAUGGUAUUAUGGGGAAAUUACUGGCUGCAACUGCUGGAAAACUUCAUAAUCCUAAACACGAUUUAAACAAAAUGUGAUGAUUCAUGCUAUCUGAUCGUCACACACAUACACACACACGUUUAACUGGGCAGAAUUUCUGAACCACUUAUAAGUGACGUAACUAAUCUGAACAUCAACCUUCGCGGUGAAAAAAGUUAGGACCCUGGGUAUGAACAGCACCAUCCUUUUUGGUCUUUAGUAAACUUCAAAGGAGAGAAACACUCUGAUGUAUGCAGAUAAAACAUGGCUGGAAAGGAAGGGGGCAACCAGCAAAACCACUACGGAUUCGUGCUGUCAAGAGAAGGAAGAAAGAAAUUCAGCUGAUGAAUAUAAAGGGCUCAGUAAAACAGAGUUCAUGAAGGAAAGAAAAUAGGCAGUUAUUUGUUAUGUCUAAACCUCAAUGUGUUGCACCAGAGUGAGAGACAAGAUCAUGGGUUGCUUAUGUCCACAGACUACUUAAUUAUCUAAAGAGAUACUGGGGUAAUGGUGGAGGGGCAGCAAUCUGUGAAUCAGAACCAUUCAGCUAUGAAAGUCAAGACUGUACAUAAAGACAGAUGUUAGGAACAGUGAGGAUUGUCUUACGUUAUAUUACAUCCCACCAUCAACCAGAUUAGGAAGGUGCUGAUUAUUGAACAAAUGCUCAAAGUAUUCAAUUAUUUUUUUAAAAAAGAUGUUAAAGAUAUAUCUGGACAGUGUUUGGAAGAGGUAGAGAAACCAACUGGGUACACAUACUCUUUUGUUUGAUUUGAACUAGAAAGAGACUAGACUGAUUGUUUUUCACCUUCAAAAUCUUAGUCUUGAUGAAACUGACAAUAAAGGCACAAAUAAAGUGAAAUUGAAAUAAUUUUAACAAAGAAGAAAAUCUGGCAAUGUCUAAAGAACAGAUGAAGUAAGCAAAAACCUUAAAUAUGAUUUAAGGUUUAAAAAAAACCUUAAGAUAUUAACAACUUGCAAGUAUAUACUCAGAAUACAGAAUAAGAAUACAGAACAAGAAUAUUUAGGUUUCAAGAAAAAUUAGGCAGGUUUUCUUCUGACAAAGUGACAGGUCCUGUGGGAGAAAGUAAUCCCACAAGACUAAGAGUCAGUACCAAAUCCCAGUCAUCUUACCACUCAACAUCUAUCACACUGGCUGGGUAAAGAACAGGCAUCAGUAAGUGUUCAUUGAAUGAAGGUAUAUCAUAACGUGCAAUUACACUUAGUUAGUAUGGUGUAGUUCAAACCCAGUCAGGAAAGUCAACCUUUUUUUAAGCAGUGAAACUUUUAAAAAAAGAAAUCUAUGUAGAACUCCAAUACAGAAUAAAAAUGAAGCUGCCACUGGCCAGCCAGGCCGAAGCCAGUGGGAAUAAACUAGCCUCCAAUUCCCUAAACCAGCCCUAAGAUGUAUGUAAUCCAGUGUGAAAACCACCAUUUAUUUUGAAAAUGUGAUAGAAGGCAUGAUCCUUCAGUUCUCAUGUUGUUAAACUGAGGACAUUACCAGCACUGUGUAGAAGAAAUUCUAAAUGAUGCUGCUAAUUUAAAUAAAAAAAAAAUUCUACAAAGAGGAGAUUGUAUCACUUAGAAAAAUGAAAACAAACCCUGUAAAGGAAAAAAAAGAAUCAGCAAAAAUCAGGCCACAGUGGACAAAAUAAAAAGCAAAACCAGCACCUCAUUAAAAAGCAAAUUAAGACCAUUGAACAUAUUCAUACAAAUGUAACCACCACCACCACCACCACCACCACCACCACCGACUCAACUGCUUGACUGGCCUACUACUGAAUACAAUAGGUGCUUCCAAAGAGCUGAGUCCCAGCUUCAUACUGUGUGUAAGAAUCCCACCAUAACUGCAGAGAUGUGACUCAUUACUGAAACGCUACAGACGGUACUGCUUUGCUUAACCUAUCAAUGCAAGAGUACCAGCCAGGACUUUCUACCAUUUUGAGUUGUUCUUUGACCCCAGACAAGGAGCAGUAUUCCCUAACAUCACACAACUUCUCAAGUACAAAGGACAGGGCCUCCACACUUUCAACACGUCUGACGGUGGUGAUGCCUGGGACUUUUAUACCAUCCACAAGGCGGGCUGUACAAGUAGUAAUCAGUGGGCAGCAGGACGCCUGGAAGCAAGCAGCCAGUUGCUACAGUCGUGAAAAUUUGCCCAAGGCAGAAUUAAAGAGAGGGUUGCUCCAUUAAAUGGCAGUGACCUGGUGCAAACUUUUUAUAGUAAGGACUUGAGGAAGAGGAAAUACUAACAAGAAUGACACAUGAAGCAGUCCAUUACAAAAUAAGGCCACCUUCAACUAUUAUAAAGUAGAACCAAUCUGAUCCUCAAGUUUGGAUCUGUGAAGAGGUUUUUGUAUAAAGCAUAAACACCUAAUAAAUGAUGAGUUUCCUUUAAAAUAUGCCUUUGCAUUUGAUGCCAUUUUCUUUGCCAAGAAUGCCUAUUUUUCCCGGGCUCUCCACAUGGCUUGCUCCUUUCUCACAUGUUAGCUCAAUCAUCACUACUUUACACAAGCUUUCCCUCUGCUUUGCUCUAUCACAGUACCCUGCUUAUCUCCUUCAUAGACAAACAUGCUAAUUAAGUGUUAGAGUAACUGCUAUCUCGGCAAAGGCAAGGGCCAUAGCUGUCUUGUUCACCUUUACCCAAAGGCUAAGAAAGUUCCUGGCACACGUAACAGGUGAACAAUAAAUAUCUGAAGAACGAAAAAUCACUCUACCACGUUCACAUGAACAUAUACAUGCAUACACAAACACAGGAAAACGGGGAACAUCCGACAGAAAACAAUCAAAUGCGGAAAGUACUGAAAACAACCCCUGUACAUACAGGUGAAUAUGGUUAUAAAACACAAGUACCAACCAAAGAUAAUCUGUCUUUAAAAAUAUGAAAACCUACUAGAAAGGGACCAGGAGUGGUUACUGGCUGUUUCUACUGAGAUGCAAACAAGAAAAGUUUAAACUGGAAUGAGUUAAUAAACUAAGUAAAAUAAGGAUUAUCUGCUGUAGAAUGACUUCCAACAGAGCUUUUGACACCUCUGGUCACGCCUGUCCCUGCAGAGCAUGAAGUAUGGAGGCUUCACCACAUAUUCAGGAUUAGUUAAGAACAGCUCAGACCACAGGUAUCCAUGAGAUAAAAAACUUGCUAAACGGCUUCUCCCCCAAAUUUUACAAUUCAGAAUUCACAAUUAUGUAAAAUAACACAGAUUCUAUAAAUUUAAUACAACAUACCUUAAAAGCAGAUGGCCCCUAUCUGCUGAUCAGACCUCAGCACUGCUUUUCUAGGUAUUCUGCAGAAGCAAUUACAUUUACAAAAGGUCCACUUCAUAACACAAUCUGGUAAUUAAAUCCAAUGAAAUUCAACUCAAAAGAGGUUUGCUACUGAAAUAUUUGAAAGUAUCUUUUAAAAAGGGGGUUUAUAUUUUUAGACUGAAUUUUCAGAAAGGAUAAAUAUAUUGAAAUAACUGCAGUAUAUCCCUGAAAAUAAUUAUACUGCCACCUGUGCACUUUUUAUGAGGUGUAAAGAUAAAUCAAAAGACUGCCAGGUUAUACAAGCCUCUUAGUAACUGUUGAAACUGAAAUUUGGUGUAAGACAAAAGGGACUUACUCCAUGUGAAUUAUCACUGUACCCAGAAUUAACUGGUGCUGGCAGUAUCAGUACAACCACUGAUGGUGAUGGAUGUCAUGCUACACUGUUUUGAUGGAAAAGUAGAAAUGGAGGAGAGGUUUAGAAAGAUUUCCAUAAAGUUUCCUUAUAAUGAGAUUUAGCAGUAAGUAAACAAACACAGAAAGAAUGAAUAUUUAAGACCCACUGAACACAUUAAGGUCAAGGAUUUCAAAAGUUAAUCCACUUUUCUUCCCCCAAGAGUUUAUUUUUGGUAAAAGGCAGAAAAAUUAGUUUUUCUACAAGGGAAAUCUGCUUCUAAAUGAUAAUUUGAAAAUCUUGAUAUAUAUUAUAUAUUAAAAAAGACACACAAAAAUAACAAAAAGUGGGAAUAACAGAUUAGGUACUGUAACUUUAUAAAGGCUUGCCUAAAU
Capra hircus (goat) is the source of this 12671-nucleotide long non-coding RNA. RefSeq lists it as uncharacterized. NCBI's taxonomy places the organism in Eukaryota, Metazoa, Chordata, Mammalia, Artiodactyla, Bovidae. The transcript is spliced from 2 exons. The record is from RefSeq and is a predicted model, not a curated record.